GACGAACGCUGGCGGCGUGCUUAACACAUGCCAGUCGAACGAAGAGCGAUGGAAGCUUGCUUCUAUCAAUCUUAGUGGCGAACGGGUGAGUAACGCGUAAUCAACCUGCCCUUCAGAGGGGGACAACAGUUGGAAACGACUGCUAAUACCGCAUACGAUCUAAUCUCGGCAUCGAGGAUAGAUGAAAGGUGGCCUCUACAUGUAAGCUAUCACUGAAGGAGGGGAUUGCGUCUGAUUAGCUAGUUGGAGGGGUAACGGCCCACCAAGGCGAUGAUCAGUAGCCGGUCUGAGAGGAUGAACGGCCACAUUGGGACUGAGACACGGCCCAGACCCCUACGGGAGGCAGCAGUGGGGAAUCUUCCGAAAUGGACGAAAGUCUGACGGAGCAACGCCGCGUGAGUGAUGACGGCCUUCGGGUUGUAAAGCUCUGUUAAUCGGGACGAAAGGCCUUCUUGCGAAUAGUGAGAAGGAUUGACGGUACCGGAAUAGAAAGCCACGGCUAACUACGUG
RNAcentral lists this ribosomal RNA (510 nucleotides) under uncultured bacterium. RNAcentral's name for it is "partial 16S ribosomal RNA". It matches the Rfam family "Bacterial small subunit ribosomal RNA", at positions 28 to 507 of the family's 1533-position model. The record is from RNAcentral.